UCUGGUAUUGAUUGGUGCUUGCAUCAUGAUUUACAUUUGAGUGAGUGGCGAACUGGUGAGUAACACGUGGGAAACCUGCCCAGAAGCGGGGGAUAACACCUGGAAACAGAUGCUAAUACCGCAUAACAACUUGGACCGCAUGGUCCGAGUUUGAAAGAUGGCUUCGGCUAUCACUUUUGGAUGGUCCCGCGGCGUAUUAGCUAGAUGGUGGGGUAACGGCUCACCAUGGCAAUGAUACGUAGCCGACCUGAGAGGGUAAUCGGCCACAUUGGGACUGAGACACGGCCCAAACUCCUACGGGAGGCAGCAGUAGGGAAUCUUCCACAAUGGACGAAAGUCUGAUGGAGCAACGCCGCGUGAGUGAAGAAGGGUUUCGGCUCGUAAAACUCUGUUGUUAAAGAAGAACAUAUCUGAGAGUAACUGUUCAGGUAUUGACGGUAUUUAACCAGAAAGCCACGGCUAACUACGUGCCAGCAGCCGCGGUAAUACGUAGGUGGCAAGCGUUGUCCGGAUUUAUUGGGCGUAAAGCGAGCGCAGGCGGUUUUUUAAGUCUGAUGUGAAAGCCUUCGGCUCAACCGAAGAAGUGCAUCGGAAACUGGGAAACUUGAGUGCAGAAGAGGACAGUGGAACUCCAUGUGUAGCGGUGAAAUGCGUAGAUAUAUGGAAGGAACACCAGUGGCGAAGGCGGCUGUCUGGUCUGUAACUGACGCUGAGGCUCGAAAGUA
Molecule: ribosomal RNA, 725 nt
Filed under: Lactiplantibacillus plantarum
Lineage: Bacteria; Bacillati; Bacillota; Bacilli; Lactobacillales; Lactobacillaceae
Description: bacterial SSU rRNA
Rfam family: Bacterial small subunit ribosomal RNA
Source: RNAcentral